AACGAACGCUGGCGGCAUGCCUAACACAUGCAAGUCGAACGAGACCUUCGGGUCUAGUGGCGCACGGGUGCGUAACGCGUGGGAACCUGCCCUUAGGUUCGGAAUAACUCCCCGAAAGGGGUGCUAAUACCGGAUAAUGUCUUCGGACCAAAGAUUUAUCGCCUUUGGAUGGGCCCGCGUUGGAUUAGCUAGUUGGUAGGGUAAAAGCCUACCAAGGCGACGAUCCAUAGCUGGUCUGAGAGGAUGAUCAGCCACACUGGGACUGAGACACGGCCCAGACUCCUACGGGAGGCAGCAGUGGGGAAUAUUGGACAGUGGGCGAAAGCCUGAUCCAGCAAGGCCGCGUGAGUGAUGAAGGCCUUAGGGUUGUAAAGCUCUUUUACCCGGGAUGAUAAUGACAGUACCGGGAGAAUAAGCUCCGGCGAACUCCGU
RNAcentral lists this ribosomal RNA (432 nucleotides) under uncultured bacterium. RNAcentral's name for it is "partial 16S ribosomal RNA". It matches the Rfam family "Bacterial small subunit ribosomal RNA", at positions 29 to 506 of the family's 1533-position model. The record is from RNAcentral.